RNAcentral lists this ribosomal RNA (329 nucleotides) under uncultured eukaryote. Its description in RNAcentral is "partial 18S ribosomal RNA". It matches the Rfam family "Eukaryotic small subunit ribosomal RNA", at positions 1470 to 1796 of the family's 1831-position model. The record is from RNAcentral.
CCCUUUGAUGUCCUGGGCCGCACGCGCGCUACACUGAGUGUCUGAGAUACGAGUCUGCCUGGUCCGGCAAGGUCUAGGUAAUCGCUAAAAGACACAUCAUGCUUGGGAUAGAUUAUUGCAAAUAUUAAUCUUGAACGAGGAAUUCCUAGUAAGCGCAAGUCAACAGCUUGCGUUGAUUACGUCCCUGCCCUUUGUACACACCGCCCGUCGCUACUACUGAUUGGAUGUUUAAGCGAGGUUCUCGAACUGCUAGCGACUUAGCUUCGGUGAGGUCGCAGUGUGGGAAGUGAACCUAGCUUUGGUGUCUAGAGGAAGUAAAAGUCGUAACA